UUAACUUCACCACACUGGAUGUAAAUUGUAGCUUUAAAAACCACUGCAGCUGUUUGAGUCCCGCUCAGACGAUCAUAAUGUUGCUGAUGUUUUUGCAUGCAGAUGCAGACACAGAUCCUAAGGCAUGGCUGUAUGCUGCCGUUAUCAUCCCAUUGAUGCUGGCCUGCCUGGUAGCCCUACUCUUUGUGUGUUGCAGGAAGAAUAAGGAAUAUAUUUUCCCCAAAAUACCAGAACCUCGGGACCUCCUCAGCGAUAUUUCAGAAAACAACAACAAGAGCACUGUUCUUAACCUGUACAUCCCAGCACAGGAAGAAGGCAACUGUAAAAUCACACUUGUGGUAGAUCCCCUUAUCAACAAACUGGACUUCUGACAGAUCAUCUGCAGUUGCAACAUCUAGAAUCUGCAAAGUCCUCCGCAUGCUUGUUUGCCAAUACUGGCUCAAAAAAGACAAAACAGUUUUACAGAUGAAUCCAGGAUAUGUUAUUAAUAAGGACUUUUCAGUGACAGGGAGCUUCCCUAUGUGAUCUCACUGAUAUAGUUUACAGUGCUGGGUAUAGACUCUUUUUAGAAUAAGUUCUAAAGCCGAGACAAAGCUUUGAGUUACCUGUUUUAACCCUUUAAGUGACACCUAAGCCCUCAAGACAGUAGCUGCACAUUGAAGCCUGCAGAUCUGCUUAUUGUCGCUGGUCUUGCUGGAUCUGAGAUGAUUGUGGGGAACAAGUUACGCUUUACUUCUCCAGUGAAUUGUUUAUAUUUAUGGCAGCUCUGACAUGUUUGUAGAGCUGACAAUCACAUGAAGGGAAUUAUAUUUGCUGUCUGGAGAUUGUGCACAUUGCAGGAUAAAGCUCCCAUCUACUGUGAGUAUUACCCCCAUCUUUUUUUUAUUUUCUUUAAAUGUCUGCAACUGUAAAAAUGUAUGAAGCACUCGUGAAAAAAUACUGAUAUGUCAAUAAUGGUGUUGUGCCCAGACUGGCUAUUGCUGGGUGCUACUUUUUAAUAGUUUAUCAUUUGUUUUAUUCCAUUUCCUUUCAUAGUUUUUCAAUAAAACAAACAUAAGAUAUCAGGCUUUCAGACUUGCAGAUUUAAAGGAGCAGUUUGACAUUUUAAGAAAAUACUCAUUCUUGUCAAGAGUUAGAUGAUAAAAUUGAUACCACUUUAACAUCUAUAUGCUAAAUAUGUAGCUGGAUCUAUCUUAGCUUAGCACAGAGACUGGAAACGGGGGGGGGAAACUGCUAGCUUUGAUCAAUCCAAUGGUGAAAAUCUACCUACCAGCACCUCUCAAGUUCACUUCAGGAUUUAGAAACAUUUUAAUUGUAUAAUUAACUUCACAUUUAACAAGUUAUAUCCAAUUUGUGAACUGUUUUUAAUUUUUUUGUUAAAGCAUCAUAUUAUGGUUUGUUAAACAGAAUACACUGUGUCCUUAAUGUAAUUUAUGAAAAAUAUAUAUAAAGUUGGUCCUAAGGCAGACCCAAAUAUCGCCCUGCAGAGCAUAUUUGGGCAAGAACACCUGGACUUUCUGAUAUAAUCAAACCUUCAGUAUCAAACCAACUAAUUUAAGGCCGAUCAAGUCUUUAUAAUUAGUGUGAAUUUUAGCUAAAUGUAAAGCAAAACUGACUUCUAAGAAAAGUAACACUGAUGGUGAUUCAUUGCCCAGACAGAGAAGUUUCAGUUCUGCACAGUUUUAGAGUUGCAGUGAAUUUCUUCAGUUACUGAAAAAAGCCACACGGAUGUGUCGAAAUUUGGUUUGAAAUUGCUUAAUUUUUCAGAGCUCGUAGCUUUUUUUUAAGAGCAGUUGAACAAUUGCAUUUCUGAAAAUGACUGAGAUGCUAUCAAAGAGCUCCUGCCUGUUGUGUUGAUGAUAUUGCAGAUU
Long non-coding RNA from Anoplopoma fimbria (sablefish), 1871 nucleotides. RefSeq lists it as uncharacterized. The transcript has 3 exons. The record is from RefSeq and is a predicted model, not a curated record. NCBI's taxonomy places the organism in Eukaryota, Metazoa, Chordata, Actinopteri, Perciformes, Anoplopomatidae.